GACGAACGCUGGCGGCGUGCUUAACACAUGCAAGUCGAACGGAAAGGCCCUGCUUUUGUGGGGUGCUCGAGUGGCGAACGGGUGAGUAACACGUGAGUAACCUGCCCUUGACUUUGGGAUAACUUCAGGAAACUGGGGCUAAUACCGGAUAGGAGCUCCUGCUGCAUGGUGGGGGUUGGAAAGUUUCGGCGGGUGGGGAUGGACUGGCGGCUUAUCAGCUUGUUGGUGGGGUAGUGGCUUACCAAGGCUUUGACGGGUAGCCGGCCUGAGAGGGUGACCGGCCACAUUGGGACUGAGAUACGGCCCAGACUCCUACGGGAGGCAGCAGUGGGGAAUAUUGCACAAUGGGCGGAAGCCGGAUGCAGCAACGCCGCGUGCGGGAUGACGGCCUUCGGGUUGUAAACCGCUUUCGCCUGUGACGAAGCGUGAGUGACGGUAAUGGGUAAAGAAGCACCGGCUAACUACGUG
This 468-nucleotide ribosomal RNA is filed under the name uncultured bacterium. Its description in RNAcentral is "partial 16S ribosomal RNA". It matches the Rfam family "Bacterial small subunit ribosomal RNA", at positions 28 to 507 of the family's 1533-position model. The record is from RNAcentral.